RNAcentral lists this ribosomal RNA (331 nucleotides) under uncultured bacterium. RNAcentral describes it as "bacterial SSU rRNA". It matches the Rfam family "Bacterial small subunit ribosomal RNA", at positions 568 to 898 of the family's 1533-position model. The record is from RNAcentral.
CGCGUAGGUGGUAAUGUAAGUCUGAGGUGGAAUCCCAGGGCUUAACCCUGGAACUGCCUUGGAAACUGCAUUACUUGAGUCAGUGAGGGGAGGGUAGAAUUCCUGGCGUAGCGGUGAAAUGCGUAGAUAUCAGGAGGAAGGCCUGUGGCGAAGGCGGCCCUCUGGUGCUGGACUGACACUGAGGCGCGAAAGCGUGGGGAGCAAACAGGAUUAGAUACCCUGGUAGUCCACGCCCUAAACGGUGGGCACUAGGUGUAGGGCUCGUAAGGGUUCUGUGCCGAAGGGAAACCAUUAAGUGCCCCGCCGUGGGGAGUACGGCCGCAAGGUUGAA